GGUCGGCAAGAGUGUUGUUUUCUACCUCACGUCACCGUAGUGAUGAUGACACGUGUGGUAUGGAACCCCUUAUCUAUCGCUCAGCAAGAAAAUAUGCCACCACGCACGCUUCUCCAUUGUUUAUGAAUUUUGCUUUUCUGCUUCGUAUCAUGCGACCGACGAGGAUUUCUUGCUGAAUUUCAAUCGCAAACAAUUCACAAAGAGGUAAGCUCUGCCUUUUCUGAUCAUAAGAAAACUCCUCGUACCAUAAUUCACUUUUUAUUUUUUUAUGGGAAACCAGUUUCUUUAUACACAAGGAGCAGUUUGGAUUGAGUGGGAGUGUUAGUAAUUUAGAUGUAUCUUAAUUAAUUGGGAAUCCAUACUUGAACAUGUAGCUAGAAAUUUGAGUAUCAAUGAAAUUGAAAGUGGAAAAUGGGUUUGUUUCCUGUUCCAGUCAAGUGAUUUUGCAUGUUAAACAUGACAGAUACUUACUUAGGUUUAACCUGUUAACUGUUCCUUUUCAUCUCCACUCACCAAAAUUAACAUCAAUACUGAUGUUGUUCUUUCCAAGCGACGACGAAGACGACGAUUAGUUGAUCCCAAUACAUACGCAUGUUCUUACAAACGGAGGCAAAAGCCCUAAAAGGAGGGGAAAGAAAGGGGUAGAGCCCUUGAGCCAGCUUUCUGUGGGGAUUUUGGAAGUUGUGUGUCAAUCUCCAUGUGUGCUCUUUAGUUGUCAAUGAGGCACAAACUUCUCACAUCGGAUCGGAGAGUAAUUGUGAAUGUGAGAAUAUAUAAAGCUCUGCACUGCGUGUCCUAAGAUUACCCUAGUUUUUGUUUUUUUUUGACGUAGGGUGUCUGGUCCCCGUUCAAGAAAGAAAAAAAAGAAAAAAGAAAAUAUGUUCAUCCUUAAUGCCAAAAUCUAGGUUUGGAGGGACAUUUGAAUGAGGCAAGCUCGCAUGCUUGCUUUAUAUAUAUAGUUCUUAAGAUGCUGCUUUGUCCAGAUGAGGUUUUCAUUUGCACCCCAAAUGUUCAUAGGGAUUCAAUGCAGAAAUGCUUUGUUUCAUGCUUCUAUCUUUUCGUUGCCAUGCCCAAUUUAUGGUGUUGAUUUGACUGGGUAAUUCUCGGUUAUGCCAUUUGGAUUCUUGGCCUUGAAGAGAAAGGUGUGAUCUUAGAUAUGUUUUAAUUAAGAUGUCUAUUGGAGAAUUCUUGUUAAAACAUUGUUAAUGAGAUUUUUUAAGGUUAAAUUAAAAGUGAAGUUUACUCUUAGUGUUGAAACUUUAUUCGAAUUUAAUCUUUAACAUAAAUUUAUAAAUUUGAAAUAUUAAUAUGACUUUAAAAAAUUAUAACUGAAUGAGAAAUUCAUCUAAUAAAAUUUUUAAUUGACAUGUUUUUGAUAAAUUUAAAAGCUUCUAAGACGCCUUUUCCACUUAGAAAAAAAACAUUUAUAUAGUGGGAAAAUUCAAAUUUAAAAUUAGGCUCAUAAAACACCCAAACUUAUAAAAAGAAGAUGAUCUAAGCAAAAUGAGUUUUGGAUUUAAAUCCAUGUGCAUGGCCUGACCCGACUUUGCUUGUGCUUAGGCUCUAGACUUUAUUGUAAAAUAUUUUUUUGUGCUAUAAAAAAUUAUUUUUACCACCUUAAUUUUAGGCUUAAGUUUGUUCCAUGAAAAAUUAUUUUUUAGUCCAUUCUUUUGUUCAGCCAAUGAAUUAAGUUUGAUAAUUUUUUUUUCAUUUUUUGUCUAGAACUUACUCUUUAUAACCUAGAUAGUUUUUUGGACAUACUUUUCUAGCUCUUUAAAACCAAAUCUAUUAGGUUUAAUUAUGGUUUUAUGAUGGGUAAUCAAAGUUGAUGAUGGAAUCAAAAUCAAUUCUUAUUAGUUUUGAUUCUAAAAUUCAAUAUAAAAAAGGGGUUGUAGGAAAAGUUCUUUGAAUAGUUUUUUUCUAGAAUUUUUAGAUUCUUCCUUACUUUAUAUUUUUGGUUUUUUUUAUUUGUUUUGAAGCUUUGGAUUUCCUCCUAAUCUAGAUCUUAUGAUCGGUUUUGUUGAGAGAUACUUGACUAUAUUUUCUUGUGUUCGUGGACUUUAUUUAGAAAUGCAUUUAAACAAUGUGGUGGAAUCUUGAAAGGCUUAUUGCAACUAAUUUUUUGUACCAAGCUAGAAACAAUAAAACUUUAUGAUUAAAUGAUUCAUUAUUGACAACAACAAUUUUAAACUUGAUAUACCUUUAAGUGCUUUAACAAGCAAGUAUUGUAUACUAGUUUUGCUUAAGUAGAAAUAAUAUAUAUUCAUAGUAUGCAUGUUAUGAUUGUGUUAAUUGUUUUUUAUUCAACAUUAGAUAUGUGCUAAUGUAGCUAUAACCCAUGCUAUACAUAAAGCUAAAACAUGUGGUGCUUUUAAUGUUAACAAAAAAAUCAUUCACCCUCUUAUAUUUUAUUAUGGAUUACAAUAGUGCAAUUUUUAAAAAUUUUUAAUUUGAUUAUCGAACUUUUUUGUUUUGCACAAUUGAGCCAUUUAGAAAUCAAAUAAGAGCCUAAUUGCAUGAUAUAUAUAUAUAUAUAUAUAUAUAUAUAUGGUUAAAUUGAAAGAAAAUGGACUAAAGUGAACAAAUGAUAACAUAGGUGGCAAAUUGAAAAUUUCUGUUAAAAAUUUAUUUGAGUCCCCUAUUUUUUUUAUCUAUCGGGUUAAUAGUCCCUAGAAUUUUACAAAAUUCAAUUUUGGUACCGAACUUCAUUUUACUCAUUUUCAGUUCUUUAUUGGUUGGAGAAGAGAGAGGAGGUCGCCAGAUUCCGGUUUAGAGAGAAUGUUUGUCGGUGGGGAAUUCAGCCACAAAAAUGGUCAUUUGUUUUUAUGUCAAAUGGUUCUAUAUGAUUAAGGGAGUUAAGAUUAUGUGUUUUUUUUUUUUACCUUGAAAACACCUAAACAAAUCAUAUUUGAGUUCAAGAAGUUUUUUUUUGUUUGUUUUGAGUGGAUUUUGGGUUUUAAGGCGGCUUUUUAUGUUUUUUCGAGGUCAUGGAUUCGUUUAGCAAGGUUUCUAAGGUAUUUUCUAGGUGUUUUGGGCCAAAAAGGGUUUGCAAACUAGUUUUUAGGUAAAAAAACAAAGAACCUUAUUUUUUUAGCUACCACAGUGGCUGGAUUCUAGGGAUGAACAAACGAGCGUCGUUUGCCCCGUUAUUUUAAAAAAAAUAUAGGCCCAUGCAAGGGCUGUUGCUUGAUUAGGACAAGCAUUAGGCCUAGCCUACUAGGCCCAACAACGCCUGACCUGAUUUUUUUUAAAAUUUUUAUUUUUUAAGAAAAGAUUAAUGCAUUAGUUGAUUUUUGUUUUCAAAUAAAUUUUGGGUUUACAUUUUAAUUAGUUUGUGAUGAUUUUUUUUUAAAGUAUUGGGUGUUUUAGUUUUGAAAGAGGUAUGAAUGAUUCAUCUGUUAUUAUUUUUUAAAAUUUUAUAUAGAUUAAAUUUGUUUAUUUUUUAUAUUGAUUUUUUUAUAAGAUUUUCAUAUGUGCAGCCUUGUAUUUUUUUAUUCAAUAAAUUUUAUGUGUGUGUUGGUUUCUAUUACAAUUUUUAUAUGUUUUUCUAUUACAAAUUUAUUUUGAAAGAGAAAUUCCUUAAACACAAGGUAAAUUACUCGUGUUACGAUGUUAAAAUCUUCAUUUUUUACUUAAUUUUUAAAAGUAUCUCAGUAUUAUGUUGGUGUUUUAUUUUGUGAUCGUAUAUAUUUUUUUUAUCAUGUAGUUGCAUAAAAAAUGGUUUUGGAAAAAAUAAUAAUAUAAUCUCAUUGGAGUGAGGAGUCUAUAACCCG
Molecule: long non-coding RNA, 3773 nt
Filed under: Populus tremula
Lineage: Eukaryota; Viridiplantae; Streptophyta; Magnoliopsida; Malpighiales; Salicaceae
Description: long non-coding RNA (PTRE_LNC002547)
Source: RNAcentral